AACUCUUAGCGGUGGAUCACUCGGCUCGUGCGUCGAUGAAGAACGCAGCUAGCUGCGAGAACUAAUGUGAAUUGCAGGACACAUUGAUCAUCGACACUUCGAACGCACCUUGCGGGCUACGCCUGUCUUAAGUCG
RNAcentral lists this ribosomal RNA (135 nucleotides) under Mastacembelus armatus (zig-zag eel). RNAcentral describes it as "5.8S ribosomal RNA (ENSMAMG00000020259.2)". It matches the Rfam family "5.8S ribosomal RNA". Rfam says of the family: 5.8S ribosomal RNA (5.8S rRNA) is a component of the large subunit of the eukaryotic ribosome. It is transcribed by RNA polymerase I as part of the 45S precursor that also contains 18S and 28S rRNA. Lineage: Eukaryota; Metazoa; Chordata; Actinopteri; Synbranchiformes; Mastacembelidae. The record is from Rfam by way of RNAcentral.